RNAcentral lists this long non-coding RNA (604 nucleotides) under Anser brachyrhynchus (Pink-footed goose). RNAcentral's name for it is "lncRNA (ENSABRG00000005400.1)". Lineage: Eukaryota; Metazoa; Chordata; Aves; Anseriformes; Anatidae. The record is from RNAcentral.
AUCGAGGAAGCUGCCCUCUCUUCCUCUCUGUGACAUACCCACCUGAAGCCCCAUGAUUUAUGACAGUGUAUUUUGGAGGGUCCCAUAAGGACAUUUUUUUCUUUUCUCUUUCUUUUUCCCAGAGCAAAGUGUGAUGCCCUGCCAGUGAGCGCCUUGUGCAGGUCCAGACGGAGAAGGCAAGCUGCUAAAAGGUAGUGAUUGCAGCACUGAUCUCUUGCAGGCUCUGCAGUGUGAGGAGGUGGUUCUGAAUCACAAUGAACUUAAUUGAACAAGAAAUGGCAUUGAUUUUUCCUUUUCAGACCUCCCCAUUGCUCACAGCAACAGUGUACUGAACCCUCUGCCCAUGCCAAGUAGUGGAACUCCACAGCACAGUAGAAUGGCAGGUGCUGGACACCAGGUCAGCUUGAGCUCAUGUUGGAAAGAGGAGUGGCGCUACCCCUGGUGGCUUGGAACAAACCAUCUCACUCCAGCAGCUUCUAGGGGCCCCCAGGGGAAGUGAAUGCAGCCACAUCAGCACACUGUUAAUCCCAGCUACCAAGCCAGUAUUGUGGGGCUGUGAUCAGCUGGGUUUGGUUGCAAGCAGCCCUGGUGCUGGGGCUGGUCU